GCAGUCGAACGAUGAAGCGCCAGCUUGCUGGUGUGGAUUAGUGGCGAACGGGUGAGUAACACGUGAGUAACCUGCCCCCUACUCUGGGAUAAGCCUGGGAAACUGGGUCUAAUACUGGAUAUGACCAAUCACUGCAUGGUGUGUUGGUGGAAAGAUUUUUUGGUGGGGGAUGGACUCGCGGCCUAUCAGCUUGUUGGUGGGGUAAUGGCCUACCAAGGCGACGACGGGUAGCCGGCCUGAGAGGGCGACCGGCCACACUGGGACUGAGACACGGCCCAGACUCCUACGGGAGGCAGCAGUGGGGAAUAUUGCACAAUGGGCGAAAGCCUGAUGCAGCGACGCCGCGUGAGGGAUGACGGCCUUCGGGUUGUAAACCUCUUUCACCAGGGACGAAGCUAACGUGACGGUACCUGGAGAAGAAGCACCGGCUAACUACGUGCCAGCAGCCGCGGUAAUACGUAGGGUGCGAGCGUUGUCCGGAAUUAUUGGGCGUAAAGAGCUUGUAGGCGGUUUGUCGCGUCUGCUGUGAAAGACCGGGGCUUAACUCCGGUUCUGCAGUGGGUACGGGCAGACUAGAGUAUGGUAGGGGAGACUGGAAUUCCUGGUGUAGCGGUGAAAUGCGCAGAUAUCAGGAGGAACACCGAUGGCGAAGGCAGGUCUCUGGGCCAUUACUGACGCUGAGAAGCGAAAGCAUGGGGAGCGAACAGGAUUAGAUACCCUGGUAGUCCAUGCCGUAAACGUUGGGCGCUAGGUGUGGGGCUCAUUCCACGAGUUCCGUGCCGCAGCUAACGCAUUAAGCGCCCCGCCUGGGGAGUACGGCCGCAAGGCUAAAACUCAAAGGAAUUGACGGGGGCCCGCACAAGCGGCGGAGCAUGCGGAUUAAUUCGAUGCAACGCGAAGAACCUUACCAAGGCUUGACAUACACCGGAAUCA
This 933-nucleotide ribosomal RNA is filed under the name Dermacoccus barathri. RNAcentral describes it as "bacterial SSU rRNA". It matches the Rfam family "Bacterial small subunit ribosomal RNA", at positions 57 to 999 of the family's 1533-position model. Lineage: Bacteria; Bacillati; Actinomycetota; Actinomycetes; Micrococcales; Dermacoccaceae. The record is from RNAcentral.